This 799-nucleotide ribosomal RNA is filed under the name uncultured Nitrososphaerota archaeon. RNAcentral's name for it is "bacterial SSU rRNA". It matches the Rfam family "Archaeal small subunit ribosomal RNA", at positions 102 to 902 of the family's 1478-position model. Lineage: Archaea; Thermoproteati; Nitrososphaerota. The record is from RNAcentral.
AGUCAAUCUACCCUAUGGACGGGAAUAAUCUCGGGAAACUGAGAAUAAUGCCCGAUAGAACAUUAUGCCUGGAAUGGUUUAUGUUUCAAAUGAUUUAUCGCCAUAGGAUGGGACUGCGGCCUAUCAGUUUGUUGGUGAGGUAAUGGCCCACCAAGACUAUUACAGGUACGGGCUCUGAGAGGAGUGGCCCGGAGAUGGGUACUGAGACACGGACCCAGGCCCUAUGGGGCGCAGCAGGCGAGAAAACUUUGCAAUGUGCGAAAGCACGACAAGGUUAAUCCGAGUGGUUUCUGCUAAAGAAACCUUUUGCCAGUCCUAGAAACACUGGUGAAUAAGGGGUGGGCAAGUUCUGGUGUCAGCCGCCGCGGUAAAACCAGCACCUCAAGUGGUCAGGAUGAUUAUUGGGCCUAAAGCAUCCGUAGCUCGUUUUGUAAGUUUUCGGUUAAAUCCAUGCGCUUAACGUAUGGGCUGCCGGGAAUACUGCAUAACUAGGAAGUGGGAGAGGUAGACGGUACUCGGUAGGAAGGGGUAAAAUCCUUUGAUCUAUUGAUGACCACCUGUGGCGAAGGCGGUCUACCAGAACACGUUCGACGGUGAGGGAUGAAAGCUGGGGGAGCAAACCGGAUUAGAUACCCGGGUAGUCCCAGCUGUAAACUAUGCAAACUCAGUGAUGCAUUGACUUGUGGCCAAUGCAGUGCUGCAGGGAAGCCGUUAAGUUUGCCGCCUGGGAAGUACGUACGCAAGUAUGAAACUUAAAGGAAUUGGCGGGGGAGCACCACAAGGGGCGAAGCCUGCGGUU